AACGAACGCUGGCGGCAGGCUUAACACAUGCAAGUCGAACGGUACAGCAAUGUACAGUGGCGCACGGGUGAGUAACGCGUGGGAAUAUGCCCUUUAGUACGGAAUAGCCUCGGGAAACUGGGAUUAAUACCGUAUACGCCCUUCGGGGGAAAGAUUUAUCGCUAAAGGAUUAGCCCGCGUGAGAUUAGGUAAUUGGUGGGGUAAUGGCCUACCAAGCCUACGAUCUCUAGCUGGUCUGAGAGGAUGAUCAGCCACACUGGAACUGAGACACGGUCCAGACUCCUACGGGAGGCAGCAGUGGGGAAUAUUGGGCAAUGGACGAAGGUCUGACCCAGCCAUGCCGCGUGAGUGAUGAAGGCCUUAGGGUUGUAAAGCUCUUUCGUUGGUGACGAUAAUGACGGUAACCAAAGAAGAAGCCCCGGCUAACUUCGUGCCAGCCGCCGCCGUAA
This 449-nucleotide ribosomal RNA is filed under the name uncultured bacterium. RNAcentral's name for it is "partial 16S ribosomal RNA". It matches the Rfam family "Bacterial small subunit ribosomal RNA", at positions 29 to 523 of the family's 1533-position model. The record is from RNAcentral.